AAUCAACGCUGGCGGCGUGCCUCAGACAUGCAAGUCGAACGAUUAAAGCUCUCUUCGGAGAGUGCAUAGAGUGGCGCACGGGUGAGUAACACGUAAGUAAUCUACCUUCGAGUGGGGAAUAACGUCCGGAAACGGACGCUAAUACCGCAUAAUGCAGCGGCAUCGCAAGAUGACAGUUGUUAAAGGAGCAAUUCGCUUGAAGAGGAGCUUGCGGCAGAUUAGCUAGUUGGUAAGGUAAUGGCUUACCAAGGCUACGAUCUGUAACCGGUCUAAGAGGACGGUCGGUCACACUGAC
Molecule: ribosomal RNA, 295 nt
Filed under: uncultured bacterium
Lineage: Bacteria
Description: partial 16S ribosomal RNA
Rfam family: Bacterial small subunit ribosomal RNA
Source: RNAcentral